UAUUUCUAGGAUAUUCUUGUUUUAUUUCACUUGCAGAAUAGAGAGCUGACAAAAAUAAUACUACAAUGAAUUAACCAUCAAAAGAGGAAACCAACCUUUUAGCAAUUUGGCUGAAGAACGCUACCCCAAAGCACUGCUUGAUUUGAUGGUAAAACAUGUGCAUAAUGGCGGGAGAGACGGGUAAGGCUUUAAAAUGGAUGCUUUGCAUAACAUAGUGGCUAGAUUCAGCAAGGCAACAGCGUCGAAUUAUGAAGUUGAAGAUUUGAAAGACCGGUUGAGCUUUUACACAACCGAAUAUGAAACGGUGAACAACAUCGAGCAACAACCAACACGUAGGUGGGAUUACCAACGUCACGUAGUAAUUGCUACAGAUAAUGAAUGGAAUUGAUAUAUUAAGGCAAAACCCGAAGCAGAGCUUUUUGGAGAAGAACAACAACACUAUAUUUUCAUACAUUUUGUUCAUUGUCAUCUACAAACUCUGAAUGUGCAUUGUAACUGUAAUAAAGCAAACAAUUAUUUGAAAAUGUGUUACUUGACUAUUA
Long non-coding RNA from Ananas comosus (pineapple), 542 nucleotides. RefSeq lists it as uncharacterized. The transcript has 2 exons. Lineage: Eukaryota; Viridiplantae; Streptophyta; Magnoliopsida; Poales; Bromeliaceae. The record is from RefSeq and is a predicted model, not a curated record.